UACAGAGGGUGCAAGCGUUGUUCGGAAUUAUUGGGCGUAAAGGGCGCGUAGGCGGUGCGGUAAGUCUGUAGUGAAAUCUCUGGGCUCAACUCAGAGUCUGCUGCAGAAACUGCCGUGCUCGAGGGAGACAGAGGUGAGCGGAACUUAGGGUGGAGCGGUGAAAUGCGUUGAUAUCCUAAGGAACACCGGUGGCGAAAGCGGCACACUGGGUCUCUUCUGACGCUGAGGCACGAAAGCUAGGGGAGCAAACAGG
This 253-nucleotide ribosomal RNA is filed under the name uncultured bacterium. RNAcentral's name for it is "partial 16S ribosomal RNA". It matches the Rfam family "Bacterial small subunit ribosomal RNA", at positions 524 to 776 of the family's 1533-position model. The record is from RNAcentral.